AGAUACUCCUUCAUCCAGUCGAGCUGACAUUCCAACUAACCAUCAUCGUGUCUUAUUCUGGAAGCACCGAGUGCCAUCAGGAGGGCCCAGAUGGCAACUUUAUCAGACGCUGGAAAUAAACAGAUUCGUUUAACAGCAGAAGCUUGUAUCCAGGAAAAGUGGCAGUGGAUUUGACUUUGAAACUUUUCAUGGGAGUGGACUUGGGGCGAACACGAUGGAUCGGCCAAAUGAA
Tupaia belangeri chinensis (Chinese tree shrew) is the source of this 232-nucleotide long non-coding RNA. RefSeq lists it as uncharacterized. NCBI's taxonomy places the organism in Eukaryota, Metazoa, Chordata, Mammalia, Scandentia, Tupaiidae. The transcript has 3 exons. The record is from RefSeq and is a predicted model, not a curated record.